CCGAAUUCGUCGACAACAGAGUUUGAUCCUGGCUCAGGAUGAACGCUGGCGGCGUGCCUAAUACAUGCAAGUCGAGCGAAUGGAUUAAGAGCUUGCUCUUAUGAAGUUAGCGGCGGACGGGUGAGUAACACGUGGGUAACCUGCCCAUAAGACUGGGAUAACUCCGGGAAACCGGGGCUAAUACCGGAUAACAUUUUGAACCGCAUGGUUCGAAAUUGAAAGGCGGCUUCGGCUGUCACUUAUGGAUGGACCCGCGUCGCAUUAGCUAGUUGGUGAGGUAACGGCUCACCAAGGCAACGAUGCGUAGCCGACCUGAGAGGGUGAUCGGCCACACUGGGACUGAGACACGGCCCAGACUCCUACGGGAGGCAGCAGUAGGGAAUCUUCCGCAAUGGACGAAAGUCUGACGGAGCAACGCCGCGUGAGUGAUGAAGGCUUUCGGGUCGUAAAACUCUGUUGUUAGGGAAGAACAAGUGCUAGUUGAAUAAGCUGGCACCUUGACGGUACCUAACCAGAAAGCCACGGCUAACUACGUGCCAGCAGCCGCGGUAAUACGUAGGUGGCAAGCGUUAUCCGGAAUUAUUGGGCGUAAAGCGCGCGCAGGUGGUUUCUUAAGUCUGAUGUGAAAGCCCACGGCUCAACCGUGGAGGGUCAUUGGAAACUGGGAGACUUGAGUGCAGAAGAGGAAAGUGGAAUUCCAUGUGUAGCGGUGAAAUGCGUAGAGAUAUGGAGGAACACCAGUGGCGAA
RNAcentral lists this ribosomal RNA (748 nucleotides) under Bacillus sp. enrichment culture clone CB2-1 5.1. Its description in RNAcentral is "partial 16S ribosomal RNA". It matches the Rfam family "Bacterial small subunit ribosomal RNA", at positions 1 to 719 of the family's 1533-position model. Lineage: Bacteria; Bacillati; Bacillota; Bacilli; Caryophanales; Bacillaceae. The record is from RNAcentral.